GCCUUCCCUCAGUCUUGGUUGUCUCUGAGAGCAUAAUGACAAUGAAGUGUAAGGUGAUUGGUAUGUUUGUUAAUUGCCAUUUGGUCCCUUGUAAGUUAUAAGUGACCUGUAUAAACCUCAUAUUCUAUCAGUUGAUGGUGGUGGUGUACUGCAUCUGGUGCAGCCUCCUGUUGAGCCAGACCAACAUGCAGUUGUGAGUAAUACUCCACAGAUUAUAUGAGUUUACAGUAGAACAGCAAUGUUGUUUAUUUCUUUACUACAGGAAAAUAAUGAAGAAACAUUGACAGCUGUUACAGAGGAGGAAGCAACAGAGACACUUUAUGAGAGUGAUGAUGGAAAUGAAGAGGAAGAGGGUCCAGCCACUUCUCCAACAAACCUUUCCUCACUCCCUGUAAAGCAGCUGUACAAAACCUAUUUGAUCAAGAAAAUAAAAAAAUGCGACUUGGAUUUGGAACACUUCAAGCAGCAGAUCCAAAAGACCAAGAUUGAGAUUUUACUGCUGGAACAUCAGUUAAGGGUGGGUGAAGUGGUCAGAGAUGGACGAAUUAUUUCAGUGUUUGAACAACAUAAUAAUAUACUUAUUAAUACUUUGUGUACAGGAAACACAGGUGACCAAUAAAGCCAGUUGAAC
Molecule: long non-coding RNA, 631 nt
Organism: Astatotilapia calliptera (eastern happy)
Lineage: Eukaryota; Metazoa; Chordata; Actinopteri; Cichliformes; Cichlidae
Source: Ensembl